This 413-nucleotide long non-coding RNA is filed under the name Crocodylus porosus (Australian saltwater crocodile). Its description in RNAcentral is "lncRNA (ENSCPRG00005001491.1)". The record is from RNAcentral. Lineage: Eukaryota; Metazoa; Chordata; Crocodylia; Crocodylidae.
CAAAAAUUGGGUGGUGUUUCUUAUCCAUGUAAAUCAAAAUAUCCAUCUCAAAAGCUGCCUUUCUGGGAACUUGCACAGAAGAAGAGCAGAUCAAUGUUGCAUGAUGCUACAUCGCAAAAUAACUUCUUUGAGAGCUGUUGGGAAUGGGAACAACUUUGGUGCCUUUGCUGAAUGACAACAAAAACGGCAGCUUCAGCUGGUCGAGGCACCACCGGAUGGAUUCCUUUGAUUUCUGUCUCCUUUUCUAUGACCAACCAAUGUGGUAGAUGGUGGAAACUCUAUUACUGGAGGUUUUUAAAAGCAGCUUCCCUACUGCUGCUAAGAGGAUGAUCCUGCCUCUUAUUAGCCACCAUGAAGAACAAGUGACGUAAAUGAAGAAGACAGAAGACAAUAAAGGUCAGUGACCUCAGUCA